This 75-nucleotide transfer RNA is filed under the name archaeon. RNAcentral's name for it is "tRNA-Pro". It matches the Rfam family "tRNA". From Rfam's summary of the family: Transfer RNA (tRNA) molecules are approximately 80 nucleotides in length. The record is from RNAcentral.
GGGGCUGUAGUGUAGCUUGGUCCAUCACUUAAGGCUGGGGGUCUUAUAACCCAGGUUCAAAUCCUGGCAGCCCCA